CCUACGGGAGGCAGCAGUGGGGAAUAUUGCACAAUGGGCGCAAGCCUGAUGCAGCGACGCCGCGUGGGGGAUGAAGGCCUUCGGGUUGUAAACCCCUUUCAGCAGGGAAGAAGCGAAAGUGACGGUACCUGCAGAAGAAGCGCCGGCUAACUACGUGCCAGCAGCCGCGGUAAUACGUAGGGCGCAAGCGUUGUCCGGAAUUAUUGGGCGUAAAGAGCUCGUAGGCGGUUUGUCGCGUCUGCUGUGAAAGUCCGAGGCUCAACCUCGGAUCUGCAGUGGGUACGGGCAGACUAGAGUGUGGUAGGGGAGACUGGAAUUCCUGGUGUAGCGGUGGAAUGCGCAGAUAUCAGGAGGAACACCAAUGGCGAAGGCAGGUCUCUGGGCCACAACUGACGCUGAGGAGCGAAAGCAUGGGGAGCGAACAGGAUUAGAUACCCUGGUAGUCCAUGCCGUAAACGGUGGGCACUAGAUGUGGGGCUCUUUCCAUGUAGUCGUCGUCGCNGCGACGCGAGUAGUCGCCCGCCGUCGGAGGAAGGUACGGCCGCGAGGACGUUAAACGUUACGAAGGAAGUUAGACGGCGUUGAGACGNGCCGACGGACGACGACGAGGGAGGAGG
This 617-nucleotide ribosomal RNA is filed under the name uncultured bacterium. RNAcentral describes it as "bacterial SSU rRNA". The stretch from base 1 to 524 matches the Rfam family "Bacterial small subunit ribosomal RNA", at positions 338 to 873 of the family's 1533-position model. The record is from RNAcentral.